This 415-nucleotide ribosomal RNA is filed under the name uncultured bacterium. RNAcentral's name for it is "bacterial SSU rRNA". It matches the Rfam family "Bacterial small subunit ribosomal RNA", at positions 508 to 921 of the family's 1533-position model. The record is from RNAcentral.
UCAGCAGCCGCGGUAAUACAGAGGGUGCAAGCGUUGUUCGGAAUUAUUGGGCGUAAAGCGCGUGUAGGCGGUGACGUAUGUCGCGUGUGAAAGCCCUCGGCUCAACCGAGGAAGUGCGCGCGAAACUACGUUGCUAGAGUGCCGGAGAGGGUGGCGGAAUUCCGGGUGUAGAGGUGAAAUUCGUAGAUAUCCGGAGGAACACCAGUGGCGAAGGCGGCCACCUGGACGGACACUGACGCUGAGACGCGAAAGCGUGGGUAGCAAACAGGAUUAGAUACCCUGGUAGUCCACGCCGUAAACGAUGGGAACUAGCUGUGGUGGGAGUUGACCCCUGCCGUGGCGCAGCUAACGCAUUAAGUUCCCCGCCUGGGAAGUACGGCCGCAAGGCUAAAACUUAAAGGAAUUGGCGGGGGAU